RNAcentral lists this ribosomal RNA (423 nucleotides) under uncultured bacterium. Its description in RNAcentral is "bacterial SSU rRNA". It matches the Rfam family "Bacterial small subunit ribosomal RNA", at positions 207 to 622 of the family's 1533-position model. The record is from RNAcentral.
AAGACCUUGCGCUUUUGGAGCGGCCGAUGCCUGAUUAGCUUGUUGGUAAGGUAAAAGCUUACCAAGGCUUCGAUCAGUAGCUGGUCUGAGAGGACGACCAGCCACACUGGGACUGAGACACGGCCCAGACUCCUACGGGAGGCAGCAGUGGGGAAUUUUGGACAAUGGGGGCAACCCUGAUCCAGCCAUGCCGCGUGAGUGAAGAAGGUCUUCGGGUUGUAAAGCUCUUUCAGCCGGAACGAAACGGUUACGGAUAACACCCGUGACUACUGACGGUACCGGAAGAAGAAGCACCGGCUAACUACGUGCCAGCAGCCGCGGUAAUACGUAGGGUGCGAGCGUUAAUCGGAAUUACUGGGCGUAAAGCGUGCGCAGGUGGUUUUGUAAGUCAGAUGUGAAAGCCCCGGGCUCAACCUGGGAACU